GAACCGGAUUAGAUACCCGGGUAGUCCUAGCCGUAAACGAUACUCGCUAGGUGUCGGCCACGGUGCGACCGUGUCGGUGCCGUAGGGAAGCCGUGAAGCGAGCCACCUGGGAAGUACGGCCGCAAGGCUGAAACUUAAAGGAAUUGGCGGGAGAGCACCACAACGGGUGGAGCUUGCGGUUUAAUUGGAUUCAACGCCGGAAAUCUUACCGGGACCGACAGCAAUAUGAAGGCCAGGCUGAAGACUUUGCCGGAUUAGCUGAGAGGUGGUGCAUGGCCGUCGUCAGUUCGUACUGUGAAGCAUCCUGUUAAGUCAGGCAACGAGCGAGACCCACGCCCACAGUUGCCAGCGUACUCUCUGGAGUGACGGGUACACUGUGGGGACCGCCGCUGCUAAAGCGGAGGAAGGAAUGGGCAACGGUAGGUCAGUAUGCCCCGAAUAUCCCGGGCUACACGCGAGCUACAAUGGUUGGUACAAUGGGUAUCUACCCCGAAAGGGGACGGGAAUCUCCUAAAACCAAUCUUAGUUCGGAUUGAGGGCUGCAACUCGCCCUCAUGAAGCUGGAAUCCGUGGUAAUCGCGUUUCAACAGAACGCGGUGAAUACGUCCCUGCUCCUUGCACACACCGCCCGUCAAACCACCCGAGUAGGGUCUGAAUGAGAGCGCUUUCUUUGGAGGCGUUCGAAUUUGGGCUUUGCAAGGGGGGUU
RNAcentral lists this ribosomal RNA (707 nucleotides) under archaeon enrichment culture clone A1492H76. RNAcentral describes it as "bacterial SSU rRNA". It matches the Rfam family "Archaeal small subunit ribosomal RNA", at positions 721 to 1429 of the family's 1478-position model. The record is from RNAcentral.